This 253-nucleotide ribosomal RNA is filed under the name uncultured bacterium. RNAcentral describes it as "partial 16S ribosomal RNA". It matches the Rfam family "Bacterial small subunit ribosomal RNA", at positions 524 to 776 of the family's 1533-position model. The record is from RNAcentral.
UACAGAGGGUGCAAGCGUUGUUCGGAAUUAUUGGGCGUAAAGGGCGCGUAGGCGGCUCUGCACGUUCGUUGUGAAAUCGCCCGGCUCAACUGGGCGGGGUCAGCGGAUACGGCAGAGCUUGAGCAAGCUAGGGGGCAAUGGAAUUCCCGGUGUAGUGGUGGAAUGCGUAGAUAUCGGGAGGAACACCAGUGGCGAAGGCGGCUACCUGGCCCACUCUUGACGCUGAGGCGCGAAAGCUAGGGGAGCAAACGGG